Non-coding RNA from Homo sapiens (human), 331 nucleotides. The record is from the annotation of a RefSeq genome assembly. NCBI's taxonomy places the organism in Eukaryota, Metazoa, Chordata, Mammalia, Primates, Hominidae.
AUGAAGAGGAUAUUGGGAGCUCUGCUGGGGCUCUUGAGUGCCCAGGUUUGCUGUGUGAGAGGAAUACAAGUGGAGCAGAGUCCUCCAGACCUGAUUCUCCAGGAGGGAGCCAAUUCCACGCUGCGGUGCAAUUUUUCUGACUCUGUGAACAAUUUGCAGUGGUUUCAUCAAAACCCUUGGGGACAGCUCAUCAACCUGUUUUACAUUCCCUCAGGGACAAAACAGAAUGGAAGAUUAAGCGCCACGACUGUCGCUACGGAACGCUACAGCUUAUUGUACAUUUCCUCUUCCCAGACCACAGACUCAGGCGUUUAUUUCUGUGCUGUGGAGC